UUUACUUUUCAUAUAGACAGACUCGCGUACAACAUCAAUGUUCUGUGGAGUACAAGCACUUCUUGGUCGUCCUGUUGGUUUCUUCUUUAGGGCAGAUCCAGUCUCUUCAAAGUUAUUAAUCCAACAUUUUAUCGAGUGUUUUGAUGGAACAGCACC
Long non-coding RNA from Sphaeramia orbicularis (orbiculate cardinalfish), 156 nucleotides. RefSeq lists it as uncharacterized. Lineage: Eukaryota; Metazoa; Chordata; Actinopteri; Kurtiformes; Apogonidae. The transcript has 3 exons. The record is from RefSeq and is a predicted model, not a curated record.